RNAcentral lists this ribosomal RNA (491 nucleotides) under uncultured bacterium. RNAcentral's name for it is "partial 16S ribosomal RNA". It matches the Rfam family "Bacterial small subunit ribosomal RNA", at positions 29 to 506 of the family's 1533-position model. The record is from RNAcentral.
AUUGAACGCUGGCGGCAUGCUUUACACAUGCAAGUCGAACGGUAACAGGCCUUCGGGUGCUGACGAGUGGCGAACGGGUGAGUAAUGCAUCGGAACGUACCCAGAGGUGGGGGAUAACGCAGCGAAAGCUGUGCUAAUACCGCAUGUGAUCUGAGGAUGAAAGCGGGGGACCGAGCAGCAAUGUUUGGCCUCGCGCCUUUGGAGCGGCCGAUGUCGGAUUAGCUAGUUGGUGGGGUAAAGGCCUACCAAGGCGACGAUCCGUAGCUGGUCUGAGAGGACGACCAGCCACACUGGGACUGAGACACGGCCCAGACUCCUACGGGAGGCAGCAGUGGGGAAUUUUGGACAAUGGGCGCAAGCCUGAUCCAGCAAUGCCGCGUGCGGGAAGCAGGCCUUCGGGUUGUAAACCGCUUUUGGCAGGAACGAAACGGUGUCCGCUAAUACCGGGCGCUAAUGACGGUACCUGCAGAAUAAGCACCGGCUAACUACGU